Molecule: long non-coding RNA, 222 nt
Filed under: Gallus gallus (chicken)
Lineage: Eukaryota; Metazoa; Chordata; Aves; Galliformes; Phasianidae
Source: RNAcentral
UUGACUGGUGCUGACAGCAGGGGUUGGAAGUCCACAGGCGAUGCCUGGCAGCCCUUACCUGUACUGGUCAAAGUGCUGGGUGACACAUUGGCCCUCCGAGGCGCAGGGGAAAUGGAAGCUGCGGUUGCAGCCCGCCUCCGCGCAGGUGAUGGUGGCCCCGAAAUUGCCACAGACGAAGCAGAGCUGGAAAAGCAGAGAGGCCCCCAUCAGCAGCAGGCUCAG